Molecule: ribosomal RNA, 395 nt
Filed under: Leptocylindrus sp.
Lineage: Eukaryota; Bacillariophyta; Leptocylindrophyceae; Leptocylindrales; Leptocylindraceae
Description: partial small subunit ribosomal RNA
Rfam family: Eukaryotic small subunit ribosomal RNA
Source: RNAcentral
AUCCCAGCUCCAAUAGCGUAUAUUAAAGUUGUUGCAGUUAAAAAGCUCGUAGUUGGAUUUCUGGCGCAUUCCACUGGCCUAUUGGUUAACUCCAACUUGGCUCAUUUGGAAUACGCCAUCUUUAGGCAGACCCGUCGUGGCAUUAGGUUGUCGUGAUGGUUACGCCUAUCGUUUACUGUGAAGAAAUUAGGGUGUUCAAAGCAGGCUUAUGCCAUGAAUACGUUAGCAUGGAAUAAUGAGAUAGGAUUUCGGUACUAUUUUGUUGGUUUGUGUACGGAAAUAAUGAUUAACAGGAACAGUGUUGUGGGUAUUCGUAUUUCGUUGUCAGAGGUGAAAUUCUUGGAUUUACGAAAGACGAACGACUGCGAAAGCAUUUACCAAGGAUGUUUUCAUUG